AGAACUCCAUCUAAUACAGAUUUUGGUAACAGAAGUAGUUCUAGAGCAGCAGAAGUCUAAGAAUGAAUUUUUAAUUAUAUAUAAUAGGCUUAUUAAACAAAUGCAAACCUACACCAUCUGCUUGCUUUCAUGAUGAACCUGGCCCUGCCUGAGUCUGAAAUGUAUGGGACAUCUGCUUCCCACAGAAUAUUUGAGGUUGUUGUUCUACGAAAAGGAGCUUGGGAAAGUUUUGGAAAGCCAAAUCCCAAAGUUGAAUGUGGAAAUCGUGCCCGCUUCUGUGUUGUUCUCUAUGAAGCUCUCGGGAUACAAGUUGGUUAGAGUGAGAAGAAAUACUGACCCGCAGAUGACAUUUCAGGAACAUUGAAGACUGGAAGCUACACGUACAAGUAGAAUCAGUAAUUAUAGACAAUGAGAUUCAGUCUGGAAGAAGAAGACAACACAAUAUAAUUAAAGAGACACUUGAGAUUUCAUCAGCCCUCAACUAGAGACUGCACCAAAUAUCUAGUUGUAGGAACAACCACAAAUGUGGAGUUGAACUAUCUUUCUUAGCAGCUUGGGCCUUUGCUUUGUAUUACUUCUUUUUACUUAUCCUUAUUAAUUUUAGAGGUGGGGGAGACGUCACUGGGAACCCAUGCUCGGCCCUUUCACACUGGAGACGAGAGCUCUGCCAGGAGUGGUGUAGUGAUCUUAUCUUUACAGGUAAAACUUCGUUGGAUCAGUAUUUCUAUUUUCCUAAGGUGACUGGAUUUAGAAACAAAACAAGACAAAACACUACUUUUGCUCUGAGAAAAUACUUUCUGUUGAGGAAGUCCCAUUUGAGAAUACAAGAUAUGGGGCUAGAAUGAUGACUCAGCAAAUAAGAACACUGACUGCUAUUCCGAAGGUCCUGAGUUCAAAUCCCAGCACCCACAUG
Molecule: long non-coding RNA, 913 nt
Organism: Mastomys coucha (southern multimammate mouse)
Lineage: Eukaryota; Metazoa; Chordata; Mammalia; Rodentia; Muridae
Exons: 5
Source: RefSeq, a predicted model, not a curated record